GACGAACGCUGGCGGCGUGCUUAACACAUGCAAGUCGAACGGAAAGGCCCUGCUUUUGUGGGGUGCUCGAGUGGCGAACGGGUGAGUAACACGUGAGUAACCUGCCCUUGACUUUGGGAUAACUUCAGGAAACUGGGGCUAAUACCGGAGAGGAGCUCCUGCUGCAUGGUGGGGGUUGGAAAGUUCCGGCGGUUGGGGAUGGACUCGCGGCUUAUCAGCUUGUUGGUGGGGUAGUGGCCUACCAAGGCUUUGACGGGUAGUCGGCCUGAGAGGGGGACCGGCCACAAUGGGACUGAGAGACGGCCCAGACUCCAACGGGAGGCAGCAGUGGAGAAUAUUACACAAUGAGCGGAAGCCUGAUGCAGAAACGCCGCGUGCGGGAUGACGUCCUUCGGGUUGUAAACCGCUGUCGCCUGAGACGAAGCGUGAGUGACGGUAAUGGGUAAAGAAGCACCGGCUAACUACGUG
Molecule: ribosomal RNA, 468 nt
Filed under: uncultured bacterium
Lineage: Bacteria
Description: partial 16S ribosomal RNA
Rfam family: Bacterial small subunit ribosomal RNA
Source: RNAcentral